AGCUGGUUGUCCAUCAGUUCUUCCACAGGACCAUUGAAUCAUGUAAUUUCUGUCAUGGGUGAAAGAUGAGAGGCUGGCAAAGCGGGACAGCAGAGCUCACUAGUUUCACAAGCACUCAGGCUUGUACAAACAUCAGUGGAGGCUCCUGUUGACCUUGAAUGAAUGUAUAUGGAAUCUCUAUACGAUGGCAGUGAUCCAUCCUGACAGCCAGAGGCUGAGCGACAGAUUCCACACAAGAGGGAACCCCAAGAGGUCACUGCAUAUGUCUCCACAUUGGGAAGGUGCCAGGGGUGGACAAGAUCUGUGCUGAAGUAAUGAGGGCUCUGAAUAUCAGGGUGUCGUGGUUGAUACAUCUCUCAAAUGACAUUGAGAUUUCAGAAUCAGUGACGUUGGAUGGUGGUCUUUGUCUUUAAAGAAGGGCCCAGAGGGAAUGUUCUAACAACCAGAUCAACCAGAUCAGGCUCACAUAACCUCUUUGUAAGUGCUAAGAAACUGUAAAGGAGGACGAACAGUGUGGAUUCAUCCCUGUCACCGAAAGGUGGUCCAGGCUGUAACUCUCUAACACAUAACCAAUGGGUCAGAGGAGACUGCUAAUCGUAUCUUUAUUUUAUGUUUCUGAAAAGGUAUGCCCAUAUUCCCCAAGGGAUCCAGUGGGGAUGUGCAUUACGAAGACUGGGGAAUUGGGGCUGCUGCUGUUGUUGCAAAUAAUUCAUAAUUCCUAUGGACAUGAAUGCAGCUCUCACAUAGAUUGAGAUACAGCAUGUGUGCAUUCUUGUUCAUUCCAGGUAGAUGUUAGUCUCCAGCAAAGAGGCACAUUGUCCUACUGAGUGUUAUAUUCGUGGACAGGAUAUCAAGAGAUUUGGAAAGCAUCCAGGAAUCUGCUGUGCCUUGAUAUUAAGGCAGUGAAUCUUCAGAGAACUACAUUAUUUUGCCUCAUUUUAAUUUGGUUUGCUGCUCAAUGUGAUGUUGUCAGGAUCAGAAUA
Micropterus dolomieu (smallmouth bass) is the source of this 983-nucleotide long non-coding RNA. RefSeq lists it as uncharacterized. The record is from RefSeq and is a predicted model, not a curated record. Lineage: Eukaryota; Metazoa; Chordata; Actinopteri; Centrarchiformes; Centrarchidae. The transcript is spliced from 4 exons.